GCAUUGGUGGUUCAGUGGUAGAAUUCUCGCCUGCAACGCAGGAGACCCAGGUCUGAUUCCCGGCCAAUGCA
Danio rerio (zebrafish) is the source of this 71-nucleotide non-coding RNA. The record is from Rfam. Lineage: Eukaryota; Metazoa; Chordata; Actinopteri; Cypriniformes; Danionidae.